AUUGAACGCUGGCGGCAUGCCUAACACAUGCAAGUCGAACGGCAGCACCGGUGCUUGCUGCUGUUGGCGAGUGGCGAACGGGUGAGUAAUACAUCUGUACCUGACCCUUCGUGGUGGAUAGGCCUACGAAAGCCGGAUUAAUACCGCGUACGGACUACGGAUGAAAGCGGGGGCCCUUGGUGCUUCGCGCUGUUGGGUUGGCCGUGGCCUGUUUAGCUAGUGGUGGGGGUCAAGGCCUAGCAAGGCGACGACCAGUAUCUGGUAUGAGAGGACGACCAGUGACAUUGGAAGUGAGACAGGGCCCAGACUCCUACGGGAGGCAGCAGUGGGGAAUUUUGGACAAUGGGGGAAAGCCUGAUCCAGCAAUACCGCGUGUGUGAAGAAGGCCCCCGGGUUGUAAAGCACUUUUGUCCGGAAAGAAAUGCUGCGCCCUCAUACGGUGGGGGGAUGACGGUACCGGAAGAAUAAGCACCGGCUAACUACGUG
This 486-nucleotide ribosomal RNA is filed under the name uncultured bacterium. Its description in RNAcentral is "partial 16S ribosomal RNA". It matches the Rfam family "Bacterial small subunit ribosomal RNA", at positions 30 to 507 of the family's 1533-position model. The record is from RNAcentral.